CCUACGGGUGGCUGCAGUGGGGAAUAUUGGACAAUGGGGGGAACCCUGAUCCAGCCAUGCCGCGUGUGUGAAGAAGGCCCUCGGGUUGUAAAGCACUUUCAGUGAGGAAGAACGCCUGGUGGUUAAUACCCAUCAGGAAAGACAUCACUCACAGAAGAAGCACCGGCUAACUCCGUGCCAGCAGCCGCGGUAAUACGGAGGGUCCGAGCGUUAAUCGGAAUUACUGGGCGUAAAGCGCGCGUAGGUGGCUUGAUAAGCCGGUUGUGAAAGCCCCGGGCUCAACCUGGGAACGGCAUCCGGAACUGUCAAGCUAGAGUGCAGGAGAGGAAGGUAGAAUUCCCGGUGUAGCGGUGAAAUGCGUAGAGAUCGGGAGGAAUACCAGUGGCGAAGGCGGCCUUCUGGACUGACACUGACACUGAGGUGCGAAAGCGUGGGUAGCAAACAGGAUUAGAUACCCUGGUAGUC
This 465-nucleotide ribosomal RNA is filed under the name Vreelandella stevensii. RNAcentral describes it as "partial 16S ribosomal RNA". It matches the Rfam family "Bacterial small subunit ribosomal RNA", at positions 338 to 795 of the family's 1533-position model. The record is from RNAcentral. Lineage: Bacteria; Pseudomonadati; Pseudomonadota; Gammaproteobacteria; Oceanospirillales; Halomonadaceae.